AGAAUCAACGCUGGCGGCGUGCCUAACACAUGCAAGUCGAACGCGAAAGUCUCGAAAGGGGCAAGUAGAGUGGCAAACGGGUGAGUAACGCGUGGGUGACCUGCCUUCGAGCGGGGGAUAACGUUCCGAAAGGGACGCUAAUACCGCAUAACAUCCUGCCUUUGAAGAGGUGGAGAUCAAAGCUGGGGAUCGCAAGACCUGGCACUUGAAGAGGGGCUCGCGUCUGAUUAGCUAGUUGGUGAGGUAACGGCUCACCAAGGCAACGAUCAGUA
Molecule: ribosomal RNA, 272 nt
Filed under: uncultured bacterium
Lineage: Bacteria
Description: partial small subunit ribosomal RNA
Rfam family: Bacterial small subunit ribosomal RNA
Source: RNAcentral